RNAcentral lists this ribosomal RNA (449 nucleotides) under uncultured bacterium. Its description in RNAcentral is "partial 16S ribosomal RNA". It matches the Rfam family "Bacterial small subunit ribosomal RNA", at positions 30 to 523 of the family's 1533-position model. The record is from RNAcentral.
AUUGAACGCUGGCGGCAGGCUUAACACAUGCAAGUCGGACGGGCACUUCGGUGUCAGUGGCAGACGGGUGAGUAACACGUGGGAACGUACCUCUUGGUUCGGAACAACUGAGGGAAACUUCAGCUAAUACCGGAUAAGCCCUCACGGGGAAAGAUUUAUCGCCGAAAGAUCGGCCUGCGUCUGAUUAGCUAGUUGGUAGGGUAAUGGCCUACCAAGGCGACGAUCAGUAGCUGGUCUGAGAGGAUGAUCAGCCACAUUGGGACUGAGACACGGCCCAAACUCCUACGGGAGGCAGCAGUGGGGAAUAUUGGACAAUGGGGGCAACCCUGAUCCAGCCAUGCCGCGUGAGUGAUGAAGGCCCUAGGGUUGUAAAGCUCUUUUGUGCGGGAAGAUAAUGACGGUACCGCAAGAAUAAGCCCCGGCUAACUUCGUGCCAGCAGCCGCAGUAA